GAGGGUGUAGCUCAAGCGGUAGAGCACAUGCUUAGCAUGCACAGCAUCCUGGGUUCAAUCCCCAGUACCUCCU
This 73-nucleotide transfer RNA is filed under the name Camelus bactrianus (Bactrian camel). It matches the Rfam family "tRNA". From Rfam's summary of the family: Transfer RNA (tRNA) molecules are approximately 80 nucleotides in length. Their secondary structure includes four short double-helical elements and three loops (D, anti-codon, and T loops). Lineage: Eukaryota; Metazoa; Chordata; Mammalia; Artiodactyla; Camelidae. The record is from Rfam by way of RNAcentral. RNAcentral also lists the same sequence under 2 other names.